RNAcentral lists this transfer RNA (74 nucleotides) under Rhamnusium bicolor. Its description in RNAcentral is "tRNA-OTHER". Lineage: Eukaryota; Metazoa; Arthropoda; Insecta; Coleoptera; Cerambycidae. The record is from RNAcentral.
GGCUUCGUGAUCGAACGGUAAGGAUACUUGCCUCUCACCCAGGAGUCCCGGGUUCGAUACCCGUCGAGGAGCUA